This 464-nucleotide ribosomal RNA is filed under the name uncultured bacterium. RNAcentral describes it as "partial 16S ribosomal RNA". It matches the Rfam family "Bacterial small subunit ribosomal RNA", at positions 339 to 795 of the family's 1533-position model. The record is from RNAcentral.
CUACGGGAUGCUGCAGUGGGGAAUUUUGGACAAUGGGGGAAACCCUGAUCCAGCCAUGCCGCGUGAGUGAAGAAGGCCUUCGGGUUGUAAAGCUCUUUCGGCUGGGAAGAAAUCGCACAGGCUAAUACUCUGUGUGGAUGACGGUACCAGCAUAAGAAGCACCGGCUAACUACGUGCCAGCAGCCGCGGUAAUACGUAGGGUGCGAGCGUUAAUCGGAAUUACUGGGCGUAAAGCGUGCGCAGGCGGUUGUGCAAGACAGAUGUGAAAUCCCCGGGCUCAACCUGGGAACUGCAUUUGUGACUGCACGACUAGAGUGCGGCAGAGGGGGGUAGAAUUCCACGUGUAGCAGUGAAAUGCGUAGAGAUGUGGAGGAAUACCGAUGGCGAAGGCAGCCCCCUGGGCCGAUACUGACGCUCAUGCACGAAAGCGUGGGGAGCAAACAGGAUUAGAUACCCUCGUAGUC